AGACGGAUAUGUCCUUGAAUCGAGAAGAACGAAUUUUAGCUGGGACCAAGUUAGAUAAUAGUUAUUUUGACAAGGAAUACCCAAAUGAGAAGCUUGAUCGAUUUGGUGAUUUCUGGGGUUUGAAGCGUGAAAUUGACAAAGUUCAUGAUCACAAAUCUGAAAAAAUUGAGAUGGUUUCAGAUGAUAUUAGUGAUUUUUGGGAUUUGAAUUGUGAAAAGGGUAGCUUUCCAGACCACAAAGAUGAAAACUCAAAGAUGGGUUCUGAUGAUAUUGUUGAUCUGUUGCCACAGGAUCCUUUUGAUAUGGAUAUAAGUACCAAAAUCACUGGUUGGUUAGAGGGUAUUAACAAAGAUUUUGGGUUAAAGGA
RNAcentral lists this unclassified non-coding RNA (367 nucleotides) under Hevea brasiliensis (rubber tree). Lineage: Eukaryota; Viridiplantae; Streptophyta; Magnoliopsida; Malpighiales; Euphorbiaceae. The record is from RNAcentral.